GGCGAACGCUGGCGGCGUGCUUAACACAUGCAAGUCGAACGGAAAGGCCCUGCUUUUGUGGGGUGCUCGAGUGGCGAACGGGUGAGUAACACGUGAGUAACCUGCCCUGGACUUUGGGAUAACUGCAGGAAACUGGGGCUAAUACCGGAUAGGAGCGCCUGCUGCAUGGUGGGGGUCGGAACGCUUCGGCGGUUUGGGAUGGACGCGCGGCUUAUCAGCUUGUUGGUGGGGGAGUGGCUUACCAAGGCUUCGACGGGUAGCCGGCCUGGGAGGGUGACCAGCCACAUUGGGACUGAGGUACGGCCCAGACUCCUACGGGAGGCAGCAGUGGGAAAUAUUGCACAGUGGGGGGGAGCCUGAUGCAGCAGCGCCGCGUGUGUGAUGACGGCCUUCGUGUUGUAAACCGCUUUCGCCUGUGACGAAGCGUGAUUGACGUUAAUGGGUAAAGAAGCACCGGCUAACUACGUG
Molecule: ribosomal RNA, 468 nt
Filed under: uncultured bacterium
Lineage: Bacteria
Description: partial 16S ribosomal RNA
Rfam family: Bacterial small subunit ribosomal RNA
Source: RNAcentral